RNAcentral lists this ribosomal RNA (351 nucleotides) under uncultured bacterium. Its description in RNAcentral is "bacterial SSU rRNA". It matches the Rfam family "Bacterial small subunit ribosomal RNA", at positions 976 to 1326 of the family's 1533-position model. The record is from RNAcentral.
UAGCCUUGACAUUGAUAGAACACCCUAGAGAUAGAGUGGUGCCCUUCGGGGAGCUUGAAAACAGGUGCUGCACGGCUGUCGUCAGCUCGUGUCGUGAGAUGUUGGGUUAAGUCCCGCAACGAGCGCAACCCUCGUCCUUAGUUGCCAGCAGUUCGGCUGGGCACUCUAAGGAGACUGCCUUCGUAAGGAGGAGGAAGGUGAGGACGACGUCAAGUCAUCAUGGCCCUUACGGCCAGGGCUACACACGUGCUACAAUGGGGCGUACAGAGAGUUGCGAUACCGCGAGGUGGAGCUAAUCUCUUAAAGCGUCUCUCAGUUCGGAUUGUUCUCUGCAACUCGAGAGCAUGAAGC